Molecule: ribosomal RNA, 567 nt
Filed under: uncultured bacterium
Lineage: Bacteria
Description: partial 16S ribosomal RNA
Rfam family: Bacterial small subunit ribosomal RNA
Source: RNAcentral
UGGGGAAUAUUGCACAAUGGGCGCAAGCCUGAUGCAGCCAUGCCGCGUGUGUGAAGAAGGCCUUCGGGUUGUAAAGCACUUUCAGCGAGGAGGAAGGUGGUGAGCUUAAUACGCUCAUCAAUUGACGUUACUCGCAGAAGAAGCACCGGCUAACUCCGUGCCAGCAGCCGCGGUAAUACGGAGGGUGCAAGCGUUAAUCGGAAUUACUGGGCGUAAAGCGCACGCAGGCGGUUUGUUAAGUCAGAUGUGAAAUCCCCGGGCUCAACCUGGGAACUGCAUUUGAAACUGGCAAGCUAGAGUCUCGUAGAGGGGGGUAGAAUUCCAGGUGUAGCGGUGAAAUGCGUAGAGAUCUGGAGGAAUACCGGUGGCGAAGGCGGCCCCCUGGACGAAGACUGACGCUCAGGUGCGAAAGCGUGGGGCAGCAAACAGGAUUAGAUACCCUGGUAGUCCACGCUGUAAACGAUGUCGAUUUUGGAGGUUGUGCCCUUGAGGCGUGGCUUCCGGAGCUAACGCGUUAAAUCGACCGCCUGGGGAGUACGGCCGCAAGGUUAAAACUUAAAUGAAUUG